This is a non-coding RNA of Acanthosepion pharaonis, 107 nucleotides long. NCBI's taxonomy places the organism in Eukaryota, Metazoa, Mollusca, Cephalopoda, Sepiida, Sepiidae. The record is from the annotation of a GenBank genome assembly.
UAUGGCCAUAUUGUAUUGAAACACCUGUUCUCAUAUGACCACCCAAGUUAAGCAAUGCCAAGUCUGGUCAGUAACUGGAUGGGUGAUUGGGAAUACCAGGUGCUGUA